This is a long non-coding RNA of Chiroxiphia lanceolata (lance-tailed manakin), 4607 nucleotides long. RefSeq lists it as uncharacterized. Lineage: Eukaryota; Metazoa; Chordata; Aves; Passeriformes; Pipridae. The transcript has 3 exons. The record is from RefSeq and is a predicted model, not a curated record.
AUUUCCACUGGUACCAAUAUUCAUAGACCCAGAAAUCCAUAAUUGUGUCUUUCAUUGCACAGUGUCUGUCUUUCUCCUUUUGCUUGAGUUCCAAGAUGCAAGCCAGGAACUGUAGGGCUUUAUUACCGGUUUUUAACAUGAAGAGGUCUUCAGCUCGAAUUGAUGUGAAGCAGGAUGUGAUUACUGUGCUGAGCUGCUAAAGGUUGGUUAUCAAGCAUGUGAAAUGAGCUAAUGUUUAAUAUCAAAUUAUUAAAAUCAACACAAAUCUUUUUUUCUAUGGCAUGAAGCAAACAUUUUAAAGCAGUCCUAGCAGAAGUAGUGGUAAAAGUUUUUAUAUUCUUAUAGUUACAUACAUUUUAGGCUAAUGUUAAUUAGCAUUAGCCUAAUGCUAAUUUAAACUAAUGCUGCAGCUUUCUAAAAGAUACAUACGUCAUUUACUCUAUGAUGUAUGUAAAUAUGUAGCAGAAGCUCUAUUCACAAGCUGUGCAGAUUGAACUGAAUGUCAGAAGUCUACAUUUUUCAUAGCUCCUGGACAAAAAUCAAUGUCAUCUGUCUUAUAUAAAUAUUUAGUUAUAUGAUAAACUAUGGCUGAAGCAGGCACAUAAAGAUUGAUAUUUGUAUUUAAUUAUUUUUGGACCGACAUAUUUUGUUCCACUUGAGCAGUGCUGCAAUAAAGCGCAAAGAAAUUACAGAUGAAUGCACAUUAUGGAAAUUAAAAGAAACAGAUUUUAUGAUUUAUCUGACCAAAAAAUAUAAUAAGUUGUUUAAAGAUGCACUAGAUUACAUUGACAUCAAAACCUGUGGCAUUUCAUUACUUUUGCUGACAAUAACUAUCAAAGUUAAGGAGUUUUACCUGCACUACUAAGAAAUUAGUAGCAAACUUAAUUUGGACUCUGUCCUGCACAGGAACUGUUUCCAGAUACCAAGCUCAUAAGCUGUAGAGAGUGAUCCUGAGUGAAAGACCUUCCAGAAUGAGAAAGAAGAGCUUACGUCUUCAUCUAUGAAAAGAACUUUAUAUUUGAAGUUGGUAAAUAUUUUAAGGUUCCCUAGAAAAAAAAGAAAAGAAAAAAAAUAGAAAACGUUUUUUAAGUGAUGACAUUUUUAAACUCCCUCAGUUUUCAAAGAAAAGAAAAGAAAUCUAGUCUUGGACCAGCUACCAAGAAAAUCCUAUGUACCCAGACUGAAGCCCUGCCUUGAAAAGCCAGAAUCCCUUUCAGAUAUAUCUAUGGUCAAAGAGGAUCAUAAUGGAGGUGACACCGUCGGGAGUUUCUUUACAAGCAAGAGGUCUAGAAAGCAACCUUAAAGGAAAAGCAAAAGCAGAAAUUCCCACAAUCCUAAGACUUUAAAAAUGAGGGCUGACACUAAAUAUGACAGGAGUACCUGAAAUGUUUCUCUGAAUGUCAGUGAAUCUAAAAGGUUUGCAGAGAACUGCAGGAUGGCAGAAAAGCUGGUUCUGAUUGAUUCAUACAAAAAAAAAAAAAAAAAAAAAAAAAAAAGGGAUGGUAAGAGCUUUAUUCAGGAAUGGAGAGGCAGAAAAUAGCAUAGCCAGGAGAUAAGCCAGGACACAUUCUAAGGCAUAAACUUGCAGUGACACAGCAUGAACAGAUGAGGGCAAGAUCCCUGAACUGGGAAAUCUGACUGAAGAUCUACAACAUACAUGACAUACACAUGAUAUUGUUAUUUAUUCACAGUUUAGGACCUUGUUUUUAUUUUUAUUUUUUUUUACUCCAGGGUGCACUAUUCCCAAGUACAGUUUUAGGAGGGGCUUUAACUGUGCUUGAACUGUGGAGUAGUUCUAGAGUGUGUGUCUGGACUGGGUUGCUGUUAUUGCCUCUUGUUACUGCCUCUCUCAUGAAAGCAGUAGGACUUGCAGGUAGAGUUAGCCAGACCAUUGGACUGUUCUGGCUAAAAAUCAGUCCUGCCAAGCCAAACAGUCCAACCCCAGUGUUGAUGACCUGGCACAAGGGUGGAGGGUGACACUUCUCUACUCCCAGCCAUCCCCCUGAGAGGGCAAGCAAAGCACUUUCCCUGGCGGUGUCUCCCCAUGUACAGCCUGCUGUGGAAUUAGCAUCUGUUUCCCUCAUGUUUGUUUGAUUAACCCUUUCCUCUACAGGGAUGGUUUUGCAAUUUGUUUGGAAGCAUGGAGGAAAAGAAGACAAAAAAAUUAGGCAUUGGGAGUAGCCUUUUGGUUGUCAUUACAGAGAUAUCUGUGUGCCUGCUCAGAUGCUUGCUUCCAGCGAUUUUUUUAUCAACUCAAAUACAGUGGUUCAACUGCAAGUGAUAAGCAGUGCCCUUAUUCUUGGUGUCAGAGGUUGCUGGGAAUUUUUUUGAAGUGCCUGUAGCAUCUAAAAUCCAGUAUAUUAUUAAGGGAAAAAAUAUUUGAGGGGAAAAGUACUAAACAAUAUAAUUGAACAAAAAUUGUGUUUUCUUUCUGGAUUUAGUAGCUUGACUUUUCCUGGAUUUAAUUGUGUUUCUGUAGUCAAAGGAAGGAAAACACAAAGCCAUAAUGCCAGAGAAAUCUUUCCUAAGGAAAAUCAACUAUGAUGUUGUUAGCUAACAAGGUAGAUGAGCAGUGCCAUUGCAAACUCACUGCAUGUACCAGUGAGAUAAGUCAAGAUUCUGACAAGUGAGUUAGAUGAAAUUAUGAGAAGGAUACAGAAUCAACAAUAGAAAGAGGUCAGCAAAAGCAGGGUUAUAUGAGACACCACUGCCCAUCUUGAAUAGCAUUCUGGCUCUCAUUAGCUUGCACCAUGGAACUGCCUCUUUAAGUGGGUGUAAAAUGGGUUCUCUUGGGAUUGGAUAUAGCCAAAGACUUGCUCAGGAGUUUAGCUGACAUGCUACAACUGCUCUUGGGUAUUCAUUCCGUGCUGCUGGCCAUGCGCUACAUUUAGGUCAAGAUGAAACUCAAUGAAACAUUUAGCUUGAACAUCAGGUUUCUCUUUACAAAUCUGCCUGAACUACUGUGCUGAACUACUUGGUAGGACAGGCAUAGCCCCAGGGUAAACCCCAGCACCCUGCAGGAGUACAAAGACUGAACCAAAGCUGUGUGAUGAAUGCAGAUGUGAUGGUGCUGGUGUUUAUAUCUGACUCGAAUGGGUCACUAAUAUGGAUAUUGCAGGGAUUGUGAAAAGCCUGAUGUGUCAGGUAGGAAAGCUGCUGGAGAGGAGAUGAUGGGGGAGUGACAUGGAGGAAUAGACAUAGACCUUCUAACUGCAGUGAGUUAGUUCAGUUCAGGGCCACAAAGACAAUUAAGGGACUGAAACAUUUCCUAUGAGGAACAUCUGAGAGAGCUAGGACUGUUCAGCCUGGAGGAGAGAAGACUCAGGGGCAAACUCAUCAGCAUGUGUAAAUGCCUGGGAGGAGAGGAGGGAGUGAGGGGAGAAGGACACCGACACUUCUCAGCAGUGCUCGCUGGUAGGACAAGAGGCAAUGUGCACAAAAAUAAAUUCUCCUUGCCAAAGCAUCUUCUCUGUUGCAUCCCACGUCCGUAUUUUUGAACUAUGUUCCCACCAGCUUCUUUUAAUAUCCUCUAAUUCUCUUAUUGGAGGGCACAAUCAACAGUUAUGAGCCAUCUCUGUUGCUCAUCCUCUUCUAGUAAUGUCUGUAAUUUCCUUUCCAUGAUCUCUUCCCUUGGCUGAAGAAUCAUAGAAUGGCCUGGGUUUGAAGUGACUGAAGUUUUGAAGCCCUGUUGUUUUGUUUAUGAAGCUUCUAUGACCUUGUUGCCUUCCUCUGAUCCUUUACCACUUAUGCCAUAUUCUAUUUGAGGUCAGAAAACUAGGACUACCCACAUAAUUUAAUGCAUAAGCAAAUCAGAGGUUUAAAUAGUACCACAGUCUGCCUUCUUCUUGUCUCUUUUCUAAUUAUUCCCCAAUAUCGGAUCUUCUUUCUUGUCUUCUUCUGACUCUUCAAACUGCUGAUUUCCAGGACCUACCAAAACUGUGUGAUCUCAUUCAUGAGUAACUGCUCAAAUUUAAUUUCUGACUCAUAAAGUGGUUCAUAUACAGGGAUAUUUUAAUGUAAUGGCUAAAUACGUGGAUGUUAAGCAGGAGGUGCUUCCAGUUAGUAGGAUGAGGUUUUGCUAAAACAAAGGUUACUGCCUAUGUGGAUCUUAUAUAAAAAGUAGUAGAUUUCAGCAUUAUGCACAGAAGUUAAAAUACAGAUGCUGUGGGAGUCAGUCUGUGUGUGAAUAUGCCACUACUGGAGGUCAACAGCUGAUCUAGUUGUCUGACCUCUUUAUGUAUUUGUGCUCACCUGGGCUGUUGUUUAACUUUUGUUAUCACAACUACAGAGCAGUGGUCCUGGAAAAAUGGUUGUUUAAACUCAACCCGAGGUAUUGUGCUGAAGCAGAGAAGCCCAUGAAGUGUCCUAACAGCAUGCUCCAGCUACUCUUCAGCCCACUGCAGCCUUGGAGGAGAGAGAGAUGCAGGGGAAGCACUCCGAGCAUUUGCACAGGUGGAGAGUGACAUUUCUUAUGGAGGCUCCUGCUUCAAGCUAGUUGAGAGCAACCCAUGCUGAAGGUUUUCCUCUGUUUUCUGAAGCCAGAACCCAGUAGUCUGACCCAUGUUGAGGAACAUCCAAAAUCUGAAGUCGGCACUUCAUUGCCCUGU